RNAcentral lists this ribosomal RNA (251 nucleotides) under uncultured prokaryote. RNAcentral's name for it is "partial 16S rRNA". It matches the Rfam family "Bacterial small subunit ribosomal RNA", at positions 525 to 775 of the family's 1533-position model. The record is from RNAcentral.
ACGUAGGGGGCGAGCGUUGUCCGGAAUUACUGGGCGUAAAGCGCACGUAGGCGGGCUGUUAAGUCGGCCGUGAAAGGCACUGGCUCAACCGGUGUUUGUCGGUCGAUACUGGCGGUCUGGAGUAUGGGAGAGGGAAAUGGGAUUCCCGGUGUAGGGGUGAAAUGCGUAGAUAUGGGGAGGAGCACCGGGGGCGAAGGCGGCUACCUGGACCAUAUCUGACGGUGAGGUGCGAAAGCCAGGGAAGCAAACGG